Taeniopygia guttata (zebra finch) is the source of this 1658-nucleotide non-coding RNA. The record is from RefSeq and is a predicted model, not a curated record. NCBI's taxonomy places the organism in Eukaryota, Metazoa, Chordata, Aves, Passeriformes, Estrildidae.
CCCCGCCCCGGCCCUGCCCUCCACCUCCCGCCGCCGCCGCCGGCAAUUUUUGAAGGCAAAUCCGGCUGCGUCACUUCCAGCCUGGUAGGACGGGGGAGACGGUCCACCCAGCCGGACCGACAAGGAGUUGGUUUACGUUUGAGCGUUAUAACUAAGAGCGAAGAGCUGCUUUGGUUUUAAAUUAUAAAGAGUAGCGGGGAAAGAAGAAAGAAAAAAAACCAAGAAAGAGCAACUGCAUUGGCCGGGAAUCGAACCCGGGCCUCCCGCGUGGCAGGCGAGAAUUCUACCACUGAACCACCAAUGCUUGUGCGAUGAAUCGUCCCUGCCUUCAUGACUCAAAGAUGGUGUUGUUCUGGGGAAGAAAACGUGUCUAAGAGUGCUGAGGAAAACCUGCUGCCGAGCGAGUGGAGUCAGACCAGAAAACCGCCCUUAAGUAUCCUUGAUGGAGCAGUACCUCGGCACCUGUCUAAAGAGACUCAGCUGCUUAGCAACAAAGAGGAUUUAAAGGUUGAGCACAAUGCAGGAGGUUUAUUAUAGUCCUUCAGGGUCAACUCCAAACCCCCACAGCAGUAUGUCAUCCUUUAAUUAACUAUAUCACAUCCAUUCUUACUCGUCUUGUUAUUCUAUUUCUACCCAUUCUUAAACUGGCAGUUUUAGUCUUUCCCAUUUCUAACAAAUGUCUACGUUUAAAACAACCAUUCCUACAUUACUUCAGCUAUCAAGACACAGCUGCUGAUGAGUUUCUAAAAUUUAAAGUGUAUCACAUCACUUGGUUGAUGAAGCUGGAGGAAUUUUCUGUCUCCCCUUUGUAGGUGGGCUAAUGAAUAAAGAAUGGUACUGUAUUUCCACAAACUCCUCCACAAGUAUAGCAGAAUUAGGAUAUAACUCAGUCUCUCCAAUAACACAUUAGUUUCUGCAUUAGCACUUUGAGAUGUGCACUUCAAGAAGGGGAUUUUCACAAACACAGAUGAAAGUUGUGAUACAUUGUCUUCUUAAGGAACAGCUUCAUGGUACAAAAAGAAUACCAACAAAUUGAACUCUUGAAAAUCAACAUGUAUACUUUUGAGAACAGGUUACAAACAUGAGGUGACAGCCAAGUACAACAGCAUUCCUGCUGUUACACGUGUGCCAUUUUAAUGUUAAACAGUAGAACUGCUGCAGCAUAAAUGGAACUUGUAGAAGAGGGAUGUGAAGGAGGACAGAAAAAUAAAUGUAAUUGGGCAACUAAUGUUUACAUUUUAUGCCUGAAUAGCCAAAAUAAGAAUGUGAUUUUCACUUCUUAUAAAGGUCCAGUGUGGUGUUUAUUAUUCCAUCAAUUGUUACACUACAGAAACUGAUUCUGAGAACAAUUUCUAGAACUCAGAAUGUCACUGACCACCAGUAGCUGAUAAUUCAGUUAGGCUGCUCAUGAGAGCUGGAAUUCUUUCUCUUAUUCUAAAAUAGCCUUUAAGAAGGUGUCAGUGCAACCACUCAAAUCCCAUCCCCCAGGUCAAACACACAAUGCUGUGUGUUCAGUCAACAGGGGCAAGAAAGCCUCCACUGCUCAACUGCUGGGCACUGACAAACUGGAAACCUGGCAGUCCUGGACGGAGGGGAUGGAUGCUCCAGUGUACCUACUGGAAAAGUCAGCAAAGAUGCACAUUCUUUUCACAUGAACA